UACGGCUAGGACUACCGGGNUAUCUANUCCGGUUUCGUGCCCCUAGCUUUCGUCCCUUCACCGUCGGACCCGUUCUAACAAGACGCCUUCGCCACUGGCGGUCCCUCAAGGAUUACAGGAUUUCACUCCUACCCNUAAGGUACUUCUUGCUUCUCCCGGUCCCAAGACCAGCAGUAUCCAUUGGCAGCCUUACGGUUAAGCCGUAAGAUUUCCCAAGGGACUAACUGGUCCGGGCUACGGACCCUUUAAGCCCAAUAAUAGCGGGCCACCACUCGAGCCGCCGGUGUUACCGCGGCGGCUGGCACCGGUCUUGCCCGGCUCUUAUUCCACAUGCUUUUUAGGCGUAUGAAAAGCGUACGCAUUGCGCACGCACUCGAGGUCCCCUUAUCGCGCUUUCGCGCAGUGUAAAGUUUUCGCGCCUGCUGCGCCCCGUAGGACCUGGAUUCGUGUCUCAGAAUCCAUCUCCGGGCUCUUGCUCUCACAACCCGUACCGAUUAUCGGCUUGUUGGGACGUUACCCCAGCAACUACCUAAUCGGCCGCAGACCCAUCCUCAGACGCUAAAGCUUUGAACCGUAAGGCAUUCCAGCGUUCACGGAUUAUCCGGUAUUAUCUCCAGUUUCCCGGAGUUAUCCCAGAUCUGAGGGUAGGUUGUCCACGUGUUACUGAGCCGUAAGGGCGAAUUCCAGCACACUGGCGGCCGUUACUAGUGGAUCCGAGCUCGGUACCAAGCUUGG
Molecule: ribosomal RNA, 735 nt
Filed under: uncultured archaeon
Lineage: Archaea
Description: partial 16S ribosomal RNA
Source: RNAcentral